RNAcentral lists this ribosomal RNA (910 nucleotides) under uncultured Chloroflexales bacterium. RNAcentral describes it as "bacterial SSU rRNA". It matches the Rfam family "Bacterial small subunit ribosomal RNA", at positions 359 to 1295 of the family's 1533-position model. The record is from RNAcentral. Lineage: Bacteria; Bacillati; Chloroflexota; Chloroflexia; Chloroflexales.
GAAUUUUCCGCUAAUGGGCGCAAGCCUGACGGAGCAACGCCGCGUGCAGGACGACGGCCUUCGGGUUGUAAACUGCUUUUACCGGGGACGAUAUGGACGGUACCCGGCGAAUAAGCCCCGGCUAACUCCGUGCCAGCAGCCGCGGUAAUACGGAGGGGGCAAGCGUUGUCCGGACUUACUGGGCGUAAAGCGCACGUAGGCGGCGUCGUGCGUCGGCACUGAAAGCGCUCGGCUUAACCGAGCGAGGCGUGUCGAUACGACGAUGCUUGAGGCAAUGAGAGGUUGGUAGAAUUCCGGGUGUAGUGGUGAAAUGCGUAGAGAUCCGGAGGAAUGCCUGUGGCGAAAGCGACCAACUGGUGUUGACCUGACGCUGAGGUGCGAAAGCGUGGGGAGCGAACCGGAUUAGAUACCCGGGUAGUCCACGCGGUAAACGAUGUCGGCUCGGUGUGUGGCGAUGAUACAACCAUCGCUGCGUGCCCCAGUUUACACGGUAAGCCGACCGCCUGGGGACUACGAGCGCAAGCUUAAAACUCAAAGGAAUUGACGGGGGCCCGCACAAGCAGCGGAGCGUGUGGUUUAAUUCGACGCAACACGAAGAACCUUACCCAGGUUUGACAUGUUCCUGCAAGCCCACGGAGACGUGGGACCUACGAGGGUGGAACACAGGUGCUGCAUGGCUGUCGUCAGCUCGUGUCGUGAGAUGUUGGGUUAAGUCCCGCAACGAGCGCAACCCUCGCCGUCAGUUACCAGUGUCUGGCGGGACAGCCGUCUAGAGAGACGGAGGAAGGCGAGGAUGACGUCAAGUCCGCAUGGCCCUUACGCCUGGGGCGACACACACUGCUACAAUGGCCGGGACAAUGCGUCGCGUCCCCGCAAGGGUGAGCUAAUCGCGAAACCCGGCCCCAGUUCA